CCUACGGGAGGCAGCAGUGGGGAAUAUUGCACAAUGGGGGAAACCCUGAUGCAGCGACGCCGCGUGAGUGAAGAAGUAUUUCGGUAUGUAAAGCUCUAUCAGCAGGGAAGAAAAUGACGGUACCUGAUUAAGAAGCCCCGGCUAACUACGUGCCAGCAGCCGCGGUAAUACGUAGGGGGCAAGCGUUAUCCGGAUUUACUGGGUGUAAAGGGAGCGUAGACGGCAGCGCAAGUCUGAAGUGAAAUGCCGGGGCUUAACCCCGGAACUGCUUUGGAAACUGGGCAGCUUGAGUGCAGGAGAGGUAAGUGGAAUUCCUGGUGUAGCGGUGAAAUGCGUAGAUAUUAGGAGGAACACCAGUGGCGAAGGCGGCUUACUGGACUGUAACUGACGUUGAGGCUCGAAAGCGUGGGGAGCGAACAGGAUUAGAUACCCCAGUAGUC
RNAcentral lists this ribosomal RNA (440 nucleotides) under uncultured bacterium. RNAcentral's name for it is "partial 16S ribosomal RNA". It matches the Rfam family "Bacterial small subunit ribosomal RNA", at positions 338 to 795 of the family's 1533-position model. The record is from RNAcentral.